This 496-nucleotide ribosomal RNA is filed under the name uncultured bacterium. Its description in RNAcentral is "bacterial SSU rRNA". It matches the Rfam family "Bacterial small subunit ribosomal RNA", at positions 29 to 513 of the family's 1533-position model. The record is from RNAcentral.
AGUGAACGCUGGCGGCAGGCCUAAUACAUGCAAGUCGAACGGCAGCACAGCAGAGCUUGCUCUGUGGGUGGCGAGUGGCGGACGGGUGAGGAAUACAUGGGAAUCUGCCCAGUCGUGGGGGAUAACGUAUGGAAACGUACGCUAAUACCGCAUGCGCCCUACGGGGGAAAGUCGGGGACCGCAAGGCCUGACGCGAUUGGAUGAGCCCAUGUUCGAUUAGCUAGUUGGCGGGGUAAAGGCCCACCAAGGCGACGAUCGAUAGCUGGUCUGAGAGGAUGAUCAGCCACACUGGAACUGAGACACGGUCCAGACUCCUACGGGAGGCAGCAGUAGGGAAUAUUGGACAAUGGGGGCGAACCCUCGAUCCAGCCAUGCCGCGUGAGUGAAGAAGGCCCUCGGGUUGUAAGCUCUUUUGUCCGGAAAGAAAGCAAUCGGUUAAUACCCGGUUGUUCUGACGGUACCGGAAGAAUAAGCACCGGCUAACUUCGUGCCAGCA